GGAGGGCGCAUAUGAAUCGUAGAUUCAUAUUUAGGAUGCGCCCGACAACCUGCCACAGAACGAAGUGAUGUGGCGAUACCC
RNAcentral lists this small RNA (81 nucleotides) under human gut metagenome. RNAcentral's name for it is "GA-cis RNA". It matches the Rfam family "GA-cis RNA". The record is from RNAcentral. RNAcentral also lists the same sequence under 1 other name.